AUUCAGAGAAACCCUGGAACUAAAAACGGGGAAAAUCCGUCGAAUUUCAAAUUCGUGAGGGUUCAAGUCCCUCUAUCCCCA
RNAcentral lists this transfer RNA (81 nucleotides) under Calochilus robertsonii. Its description in RNAcentral is "partial tRNA-Leu". The record is from RNAcentral. RNAcentral also lists the same sequence under 15 other names. Lineage: Eukaryota; Viridiplantae; Streptophyta; Magnoliopsida; Asparagales; Orchidaceae.